UUAACGUUCCCCUGCCUUUGUACACACCGCCCGUCGCUACUACCGAUUGAAUGGCUCAGUGAGGCGUCCGGACUGGCCCAGAGAGGCGGGCAACUGCCACUCAGGGCCGGAAAGCUCUCCAAACUCGGUCAUUUAGAGGAAGUAAAAGUCGUAACAAGGUCUCCGUUGGUGAACCAGCGGAGGGAUCAUUA
Molecule: ribosomal RNA, 191 nt
Filed under: Calonectria candelabrum
Lineage: Eukaryota; Fungi; Ascomycota; Sordariomycetes; Hypocreales; Nectriaceae
Description: Calonectria candelabra partial 18S ribosomal RNA
Rfam family: Eukaryotic small subunit ribosomal RNA
Source: RNAcentral